UGGUGAUUGGUAUACCAGUGUAAGCAGGUAGGCAGAGAUCUUAGGCAAAUCCGGGAUCUUAAUGCUGAGAUGUGAAUGCGAGGAGGUUACGACCUCCGGAGUGGUUGAUGCUAUGCUUCCAAGAAAAGCUUCUAAGCUAUAGUGAUAUGAGAACCGUACCCCAAACCGACACUGGUGGUUGGGAUGAGAAUUCUAAGGCGCUUGAGAGAACUCGGGUGAAGGAACUCGGCAAAAUCGUACCGUAACUUCGGGAGAAGGUACACCUUCCUUGGUGAAUGCUUUACGCAGUAAGCUGAGGAGGGUCGCAGUGAAAAGCUGGCUGCAACUGUUUAUCAAAAACACAGGACUCUGCAAACACGAAAGUGGACGUAUAGGGUCUGACGCCUGCCCGGUGCUGGAAGGUUAAUUGAUGGGGUUAGCGUAAGCGAAGCUCUUGAUCGAAGCCCCAGUAAACGGCGGCCGUAACUAUAACGGUCCUAAGGUAGCGAAAUUCCUUGUCGGGUAAGUUCCGACCUGCACGAAUGGCGCAAUGACGGCCAGGCUGUCUCCACCCGAGACUCAGUGAAAUUGAAAUCGCCGUGAAGAUGCGGUGUACCCGCGGCAAGACGGAAAGACCCCGUGAACCUUUACUAUAGCUUUACAGUGGAUUUUGAAUCUUUUUGUGCAGGAUAGGUGGGAGGCUUUGAAGCUAAGACGCUAGUUUUAGUGGAGCCAUCCUUGAAAUACCACCCUGAAAGUUUUGGAAUUCUAACUUAGAUCCAUUAUCUGGCUUAAGGACAUUGUCUGGUAGGUAGUUUGAC
This 800-nucleotide ribosomal RNA is filed under the name Tsukamurella asaccharolytica. RNAcentral describes it as "Tsukamurella sp. HKU71 partial 23S ribosomal RNA". It matches the Rfam family "Bacterial large subunit ribosomal RNA", at positions 1492 to 2274 of the family's 2925-position model. The record is from RNAcentral. Lineage: Bacteria; Bacillati; Actinomycetota; Actinomycetes; Mycobacteriales; Tsukamurellaceae.